GAUGAAGAACGUAGCGAAAUGCGAUAAGUAAUGUGAAUUGCAGAAUUCAGUGAACCAUCGAAUCUUUGAACGCACAUUGCGCCCGGCAGUAAUCUGCCGGGCAUGCCUGUCCGAGCGUCAUUUCUCCCCUCGAGCGCAGCUUUCCCCCCCGGGGGAGGGCCGCGCCCGGUGUUGGGGCGCUACGGAGGAGCCCAGCGCUCCCCCGUAGGCCCCGAAAUGUAGUGGCGGUCCCGCCGCGGCGCCCCCUGCGUAGUAGUUUUACAACUCGCAUCGGGUCCCGGCGGAGGCCAGCCGUCAAACCCCCCAACUUCAAUAGUUUGACCUCGGAUCAGGUAGGGUUACCCGCUGAACUUAAGCAUAUCAAAAGCGGAGGA
This 374-nucleotide unclassified non-coding RNA is filed under the name soil metagenome. Its description in RNAcentral is "partial contains 5.8S ribosomal RNA, internal transcribed spacer 2, and large subunit ribosomal RNA". The stretch from base 1 to 120 matches the Rfam family "5.8S ribosomal RNA", at positions 35 to 154 of the family's 154-position model. The record is from RNAcentral.